RNAcentral lists this ribosomal RNA (468 nucleotides) under uncultured bacterium. RNAcentral describes it as "partial 16S ribosomal RNA". It matches the Rfam family "Bacterial small subunit ribosomal RNA", at positions 28 to 507 of the family's 1533-position model. The record is from RNAcentral.
GACGAACGCUGGCGGCGUGCUUAACACAUGCAAGUCGAACGGAAAGGCCCUGCUUUUGUUGCGUGCUCGUUUGCCGAACGGGUGAGUAACACGCGAGUAACCUGCACCUGACUUUGGGAUAACUUUAGGAAACUGGGGCUAAUACCGGAUAGGAGAUCCUGAUGCACGGUGGUGGAUGGAAAGUUUCGGCGGUUGGGGAUGGACUCGCGGCUUAUCAGCUUGUUGGUGUGGUUGUGGCUUACCAAGGCUUUGACGGGUAGCCGGCCUAAGAGGGUGACCGGCCACAUUGGGACUGAGAUACGGCCCAGACUCCUACGGGAGGCAGCAGUGGGGAAUAUUGCACAAUGGGCGGAAGCCUGAUGCAGCAACGCCGCGUGCGGGAUGACGGCCUUCGGGUUGUAAACCGCUUUCGCCUGUGACGAAGCGUGAGUGACGGUAAUGGGUAAAGAAGCACCGGCUAACUACGUG